Molecule: long non-coding RNA, 608 nt
Organism: Magnolia sinica
Lineage: Eukaryota; Viridiplantae; Streptophyta; Magnoliopsida; Magnoliales; Magnoliaceae
Exons: 3
Source: RefSeq, a predicted model, not a curated record
UUCCUCUUAAUGCCUUGUGGUUGCAGGGCUUGUAAUCUAGAGGCACUGAAAGGAUUCCCUUUCUUUUUUCUCGUAUUUUCCAGUUAGAAGUAACUUGUUCAAAUUGGGUGUUCUCCAAUUCCCAUCUCUUCAUUGGAAAUUCUUCUUCUGAAUCUUCUAUGCAUGAAUAACAGGUUUCAAGUUUUGGGGUGUCUGUUUGUAUUUAAAGUUUAGACUUUUCAUUCUCCAUUGAAAGGAGGAGAGAUUUUAGAGAUGACCUUCAGGAAGUCUUUUCUUCCAAGAAUAUUUUCAUCCAAAGAGAAGACCAUAAGCCAAACCGACGAAGAUUCAUUCGAUUCUUCCGAUUGCAAAACUGCCUUUUCUCUUCAAUUCAAGAACGCGCUAAAUUUUCCAAAUGCCCCUCUGCUAGAUCCAUAAUUCAUGUUGGUUUUCUAAGGAAAUCAGUACCCAACAUUCGAAAUUUUUUCGGGCAAGUUUACCUAAUGAUUUAUUAAUUCGAGAAUUUAAAAAUUGCAUUGAUUUUUAGUGGUGGAUAAGGUAUUUCAAUGAAAGAUAGAGACAUCUGAAUUUCUCUGUCAAAACAGAUGGCACAAGAACUACUCACUCAA